RNAcentral lists this ribosomal RNA (251 nucleotides) under uncultured bacterium. Its description in RNAcentral is "partial 16S ribosomal RNA". It matches the Rfam family "Bacterial small subunit ribosomal RNA", at positions 524 to 775 of the family's 1533-position model. The record is from RNAcentral.
UACGUAGGUGGCAAGCGUUAUCCGGAAUCAUUGGGCGUAAAGGGUGCGUAGGUGGCGUACUAAGUCUGUAGUAAAAGGCAAUGGCUCAACCAUUGUAAGCUAUGGAAACUGGUAUGCUGGAGUGCAGAAGAGGGCGAUGGAAUUCCAUGUGUAGCGGUAAAAUGCGUAGAUAUAUGGAGGAACACCAGUGGCGAAGGCGGUCGCCUGGUCUGUAACUGACACUGAGGCACGAAAGCGUGGGGAGCAAAUAG